AGCCCUCGAAACCCUAGAAACCCGCGGCUCCACUCCGCUCGAGCUCCACCGUGCGAGGCGACAGGCGAGGCGGCGGGCUUCAACACCGGGCCGGCGAGCCGCGGAAGUGGGGCGCGUCGGCGCUCGACCCCUCCACCCCCCCUCCGUCUCCGCGUGAUCUGCAGGCGAGCCGCGGAAGCGGGGCGCGUCGGCGCUCGACCCCUCCACCCCCCUCCGUCUCCGCGUGAUCUGCAGGCGAGCCGCGGAAGCGGGGCGCGUCGGCGCUCGACCCCUCCACCCCCCCUCCGUCUCCGCGUGAUCUGCGACCGAGGGCUGCUCGGCUGCCCCAACUGCUGCCGUUGAACAAGGCUCAGCUAGUUAGUACUGCCUCCUUCCGGCAACCUCAGCUAGUUAGUCCCCCGCCGCCGCCAUCCGCCCCAAGACGACCGCCGGCCUAACCACCCCUGGAUCCCGAACCACAUCGUGAGGGUGAACGCGACGCCUCGUCACCAUGGCUGCGUCCCACGUCAACACCAAUGGCGAGCUUCUAGAUCUGUAUCAACUUCCCUUCGUCCUCGGUGUUCAACGGAACAUAAGAUUGUCGUCGCUCGGGGAACUGUCUACGGCACCCGAUAUGUUCGAACAGCUCCAUUUCCUAACCAGAACUAGACAGUGGACCUGUGCACAGAUGGAAGUUCUGCGAGGAUACAGCUGGCUAGCUGGCUGGCUGGUACGCCUCCGCGACGACGUUCUUGAACCAUUACUGCCUGUUCAUAUUCCAAAUCCUGUGCUGCACGGCCAGCAGGGUUUUCUUCCCGUGAUUACCCGCAUCAUGCACGAAGCAAUUCAGCUAAUGCAUGCAAAAAAGGACAUUGGGUUUAAGCCUGUACAGCUUGGAACGCGACUUAAUAUUUUCAGCGAAGUCCUAAUUGAUCUGGCUGAAAAAGUUUUGGGAGACGGCUUGAGCGUAGCACAGUUCCAACUGCAUAUUCCACAUCUGAUCAUUUCCAUCAACAUGCUACUCCACGCGCAGAUGGCAUUCUGAGGCUGGUGGUGGUCGUGGUGGCGGCCCACCUGUUGGUGGAGGACGAUGUGGGCUGAGCCGCUGUCUGAGUCGAGGAAGGAACUUGCUGCUGCCUUUAUCUUUGUCAAUGGAGAAUAUUCUUGUGUUUAUCUUUGUCAAGUAGACAUGCUAGUUGAUUUUGUUAGUAUCCAUCUUUGCUAAGUCUUGGUGAUCCUUUUGGUUGUCCUGUUUUAGGAUUCUUUUCCACAGUGACCUUAUUUUUGUUAUCCAACUCAGUGGAUUUGACUUUAUUGACACGAGCAAUGAUGCAUACGAUUUUAUCACCUGAAAUUCUGUUCGUUC
This is a long non-coding RNA of Triticum aestivum (bread wheat), 1345 nucleotides long. RefSeq lists it as uncharacterized. The record is from RefSeq and is a predicted model, not a curated record. NCBI's taxonomy places the organism in Eukaryota, Viridiplantae, Streptophyta, Magnoliopsida, Poales, Poaceae. The transcript has 4 exons.